RNAcentral lists this ribosomal RNA (484 nucleotides) under uncultured bacterium. RNAcentral's name for it is "partial 16S ribosomal RNA". It matches the Rfam family "Bacterial small subunit ribosomal RNA", at positions 30 to 507 of the family's 1533-position model. The record is from RNAcentral.
AUUGAACGCUGGCGGCAGGCCUAACACAUGCAAGUCGAGCGGAUGAAGGGAGCUUGCUCCUGGAUUCAGCGGCGGACGGGUGGGUAAUGCCUAGGAAUCUGCCUGGUAGUGGGGGAUAACGUCCGGAAACGGGCGCUAAUACCGCAUACGUCCUGAGGGAGAAAGUGGGGGAUCUUCGGACCUCACGCUAUCAGAUGAGCCUAGGUCGGAUCAGCUAGUUGGUGGGGUAAAGGCCUACCAAGGCGACGAUCCGUAACUGGUCUGAGAGGAUGAUCAGUCACACUGGAACUGAGACACGGUCCAGACUCCUACGGGAGGCAGCAGUGGGGAAUAUUGGACAAUGGGCGAAAGCCUGAUCCAGCCAUGCCGCGUGUGUGAAGAAGGUCUUCGGAUUGUAAAGCACUUUAAGUUGGGAGGAAGGGCAGUAAGUUAAUACCUUGCUGUUUUGACGUUACCAACAGAAUAAGCACCGGCUAACUUCGUG